This 846-nucleotide ribosomal RNA is filed under the name uncultured bacterium. RNAcentral's name for it is "bacterial SSU rRNA". It matches the Rfam family "Bacterial small subunit ribosomal RNA", at positions 605 to 1452 of the family's 1533-position model. The record is from RNAcentral.
UGGNUCAACCAAUGUAUGCUUUGGAAACUGUUAGACUUGAGUGCAGAAGGGGAGAGUGGAAUUCCAUGUGUAGCGGUGAAAUGCGUAGAUAUAUGGAGGAACACCGGUGGCGAAAGCGGCUCUCUGGUCUGUCACUGACGCUGAGGCUCGAAAGCGUGGGUAGCGAACAGGAUUAGAUACCCUGGUAGUCCACGCCGUAAACGCUGAGUGCUAGGUGUUAGGUCCUUUCCGGGACUUAGUGCCGACGCUAACGCAUUAAGCACUCCGCCUGGGGAGUACGACCGCAAGGUUGAAACUCAAAGGAAUUGACGGGGGCCCGCACAAGCGGUGGAGCAUGUGGUUUAAUUCGAAGCAACGCGAAGAACCUUACCAGGUCUUGACAUCCCGAUGCCCGCUCUAGAGAUAGAGUUUUUCUUCGGAACAUCGGAGACAGGUGGUGCAUGGUUGUCGUCAGCUCGUGUCGUGAGAUGUUGGGUUAAGUCCCGCAACGAGCGCAACCCUUAUUGUUAGUUGCCAUCAUUAAGUUGGGCACUCUAGCGAGACUGCCGGUAAUAAACCGGAGGAAGGUGGGGAUGACGUCAAAUUAUCAUGCCCCUUAUGACCUGGGCUACACACGUGCUACAAUGGUUGGUACAACGAGUCGCAAGCCGGUGACGGCAAGCUAAUCUCUGAAAGCCAAUCUCAGUUCGGAUUGUAGGCUACAACUCGCCUACAUGAAGUCGGAAUCGCUAGUAAUCGCGGAUCAGCACGCCGCGGUGAAUACGUUCCCGGGCCUUGUACACACCGCCCGUCACACCACGAGAGUUUGUAACACCCGAAGUCGGUGAGGUAACCAUUNGGAGCCAG